CCUGGUAUGACACACCGGUUUUGGGAACACAAGCGUUCAGUUGUGUCGACGCCAAGUCGAAGCACUGGUUCAAUAUUGACGCCAGACACGUUGUCCUGUCUGGCACACCCAAUGCUGCCCAACCGGUUUAUCACAAGAUACUACGUGAACACCACGUGAAUCCCCGACGUCCUUUGAACUUUCAAGAAAUGGUUGGGUUUGGUCAAGGGACUGGUAUUGGAUCUGAUAUAUUAUCAUUGUUGUCACACCUUUUCGCUAAAUAUGAGGUCUUGAAAAUGCUUGGUAUUGCUCCUUGUGAGGUGUUACCCAACGUUAAUGACGCCUGUCUGUAUAAGUGGUACAUACUUGACACCUAUGGCGAAGGAUGAGCCAGUUAUUUUCGAGUUUGUACUUUGGGUGCAUCUCGUUCCUCGGGUUGCAUUGCGCCCGCGACCCCAUAGGAGUUCCUGGUCUUGUCUCUUCGCCCCCAACCCCGAUAAACUCUAUGUGCCGUGAACGAAUGCUCAUCAGGUCGACAGUUAUUUGACGACGUAAAUCCAUCCAUAUUAACUGGCGCUGCGGCUGCGCUCAAUAGACUUCGUUGGGGAGUCUGAGCCUGAUAGGGUGUACCAGUCCAGCCGGUUAUGUACGGUUGGUAUGCUCUAUGAUAUGGAUCUCCAUCCACCUGUCAGCUAGGGGCAGACCCCAGUGUCUCAACCCUGGGUCUCAGAGGCGGUAACUUCUAGUCAGGCAGCGCGCUAUGUCUGGUUAGGCGACAUGGGUUACCAGGAGCAUCCACAGCCAAAAUGGUUUGCACAUGGAGGUCAUCGCGACCGACUUGUGAGGGGGAAGAAGUGAUGUCCAUGGCGGUUUCAAAUUGAUCUGACGACCCCCGCGUCUUCUGGACACGGAGGGGUUCAUGUGGCCAAAUCCUGUCAGCUAAAUCCUAUCGUUAGCAUCGUUCGCGGUACAUGGAAACCAAGGGCAUGGAACCCUUUUUUGUCUUGGUUUAAUUUCUCUGAGGAUUUCAAUGAUGAUAUAUAUAUUUAGAUCCACAGGUAUAGUCGGUACAUGUGGCGACUCGCCACAUGAGCAUUUUAAUAGUUUUUUUCGAGCAUUGUAAAAAGUUAUGAGAAUAAAUUUCCCCUUUGGACGUGUUUUUUUUACCAGAAUGACAAUCAAAAAGUUUGUCACUGGAGAGUUUCCCCAUCCCCCACCCCAGCCCUAGAAUAAUAUACAGACUAAAUAGUAUCUUUGGACUGUACUGGUAAUAUAGGUCAGUCACGAAAAAUAAAAUAUAUAUUGGACUGUACUGGUAAUAUAGGUCAGUCACGAAGAAUAGAAUGAUAUUGGACUGUACUGGUAAUAGAGGUCAGUCACGAAGAAUAGACUAUAUAUUGGACUGUACUGGUAAUAUAGGUCAGUCACGAAAAAAUGAAAUAUGUAUUGGACUGUACUGGUAAUAUAGGUCAGUCACGAAGAAUAGAAUGAUAUUGGACUGUACUGGUAAUAGAGGUCAGUCAAAAAAAAGAAAUAUAUAUUGGACUGUACUGGUAAUAUAGGUCAGUCACGAAAAUAUCUGAAAGUCUGUGCCCCAUUGUUGACGAAUAUAAUAUCGUGAGGACUUUAUCAAUAGUCACGGUCCCUGGCCCCUCCCACAUAAAAAUCAUUAGCAAGGUCACUGCAGGCAAUAGCUUCAGUAUUGUUAUUGUAUAAACAUGUCUUAAACAUUAUAAACGGCCCUAUUUGUGGGGUUACAUUGGGUUCUUGCUGGGGUAAUGGUGUCCAUGUCCGAUUCUGCGUUUAGUGGACUUGUAAAUCAGUCCAGCAGUGACAUUGCGUUUUGUGGACAUGUAAGUCUGUCCCGCAGUACCAUAUUUCACCCCAGCAAUUACCAAUAAGACCUGCACGUGACCUUAAAGUAAAUAGCUAUGCAAGUGUGGUUGAGACAAAACGCGAUGUAUGCAUUGGAAGAAGGAAAUCUGCGAAGAGUAGCUGGAACUGUCUGUCCAGCUCUCGUUUAUGAACCAAUGGGCGAUUUGAAAGACGUCUCCUGAACAGAUCGCCCAUUGUUAACUGAAGCAGCAUUCGAAUUGUCUCCAAUUUUUUCAGGUGGAUUGCGCCAUCUCCUGUGAUUUCGCUGUCCCGUCCCAAGAAUCGAGCCAACGCGAUCGAGUCCACUUUUGAGAGAUAAAUAUUCAGGAUGCCAAAUUUGUGGAACACAAUUGAGACCAUGUCAAGAGCCAUGAUCAGGGAACAGCAGUUCCCAACGGAAUUGACCCUUUUUCUUGUUGUAAUUCAUGCUGUUGGCUCAGAAUGGGUUGACACUCGCCUGUUUUCGACCCUGAAAAUUAAACAGCAAACAUUGUUACUCUUUGUUAAAAGUGAACCUUGCAAAAUGUGUGCUUAUUCCUGAAAUCAAUAGCACUUCAUGUAUGUACUCGCUGAUCCAGAAUAUUGCUAUUUCUUGUUCCGUUUUCAAUGUGGCAAUCCAUUUACCGUAUAUCUGAGCUAUUUCACACCACAAGAAGUGCAACAUUACAACAAUGGAGCUAUUUCUUGAUCACAGGAAAAAUGUGUUUCUACAUUGUUUUACUCAAAUGAUGCAUGGAUGAGCCUUAUUGACAUAAUUGUUUUCAAGAGGAAUUGGUUGUAGGUUUUCUUUCUUUUUUCUUAAGGCAGGCCUAAUUUAACAAAAGGCCUAUAUUUUAGGUAGGAUAUUAUUUAUACUAUAGGCCCAUAUCAGUUUUGAGAGCAAUUUCCUCUUGAAGACAUUAAAUGUCAGUCGAGUCUCUGCACCAUUUUGAUUGGGCGGUUUUGGGCUAAAAUACAGUACAAGAGAAUGCUCCAUUGGUGUUAACAGGAUAUGUCAUUGUUUUGGUCAGCGAUCAGUUCUUGCCACCUUGAAAGCGGUCACGGUUACUUAUGACUUGUACAUUGUUCAAUUGUUAUUAUGCUAUUAUCAUUUGCCCCCCCCCCCCCCCCCAUCCUUAUCGACACUCACAGUGCACCACCCUCCAUCCCGCACUGACCCAACAUCUGAUCCCUUGACACGCUUGCUCAAGCGGCUCAAGCGGCGUCAGCAGUAUCAACGUUGUGUUAUUGUAUUCCAAGUUUUGCAUUAUUUAUAUGUAUGUACUUGCCAAAUAAAUGUUGUCAUAUCAUAACCUUCGUCUCUUGU
Molecule: long non-coding RNA, 3160 nt
Organism: Lineus longissimus
Lineage: Eukaryota; Metazoa; Nemertea; Pilidiophora; Heteronemertea; Lineidae
Exons: 4
Source: RefSeq, a predicted model, not a curated record